This 502-nucleotide ribosomal RNA is filed under the name uncultured bacterium. RNAcentral's name for it is "partial 16S ribosomal RNA". It matches the Rfam family "Bacterial small subunit ribosomal RNA", at positions 28 to 507 of the family's 1533-position model. The record is from RNAcentral.
GACGAACGCUGGCGGCGUGCCUAAUACAUGCAAGUCGAACGAACCGCGACUAAGUGCUUGCACUAAGUCAAGGUGAGUGGCGAACGGGUGAGUAACACGUGGGUAACCUACCUCAUAGUGGGGGAUAACAGUCGGAAACGACUGCUAAUACCGCAUAGGACAUAGGAUCACAUGAUCCAGUGAGGAAAGGUGGCGCAAGCUAUCGCUAAGAGAUGGACCCGCGGUGCAUUAGCUAGUUGGUAGGGUAAAGGCCUACCAAGGCGAUGAUGCAUAGCCGACCUGAGAGGGUGAUCGGCCACAUUGGGACUGAGACACGGCCCAGACUCCUACGGGAGGCAGCAGUAGGGAAUCUUCCGCAAUGGACGCAAGUCUGACGGAGCAACGCCGCGUGAGUGAAGAAGGUCUUCGGAUCGUAAAGCUCUGUUGUUAGAGAAGAACAGCGCAUAGAGUAACUGCUAUGCGUGUGACGGUAUCUAACCAGAAAGCCACGGCUAACUACGUG